UGGUGAUGGUGGAGGGAGAUGUCAGCGGCGGAGGAAGAUGAUGGUAAGGAAUAACGAAGGGGAGGAAAAGAAGCCAUGUUCAAUAUCUCUUGUACCUAGGGUUUCGGAAAACGAAAUUACGGAAAAGCCCUCAAAGUUGGAGAAAAUUACGGAACUGCCACAACAAAUUGGGAAUGGGAUAGACUUUUAUACACAGGCAAGAAAAGCUUUGUCUCUGCGUUGUCCUUUUGAUUCUGAGGAGUCUAAUUCUCAGUCACAGCCAUCUUCUUCCUCUACUCUGCACCUUACUUUACCAAAUAACUUAGCUCAGUUGUUAAAUAAGAAUUCUGAUAGUAGAAAACGGCAUAAGAAGUCUCAUGCAGGGACUGAAACUAAGAAGAAGUCGUCUUCCCGGCAAAAAGGGGGUCGCAAUA
RNAcentral lists this unclassified non-coding RNA (413 nucleotides) under Hevea brasiliensis (rubber tree). Lineage: Eukaryota; Viridiplantae; Streptophyta; Magnoliopsida; Malpighiales; Euphorbiaceae. The record is from RNAcentral.